AAGUUAGAAUUGCAGUUCAAUUCACAGUAUAAACCAAAUGUACUGCCCUAACAAAUAUUUCAUCACUCUUGUUUCGCUCUAUGUAUCUUACUUACAAGUAACCUUUUUGUUGUUAUCAAUUUAUUUGUAUUAUUUACGGGAGGCCUCUGCUCAUGCUCAACCGACUUCAUUUCAUUCCGCUCAGGUCUGUGACAAAAACACAAAUAAUGCUGCUAGUGUAAGAGCAAAAUAACAAAAUGCACACAAAAAAGAAGGGAAGAAAAAUCCACACAGUACCUUCUUUUAAUCAUCCAGACGGUUGUGGAAAAGCAAAACACAAAAGCUAUCAACUAGAUAUAGAUAAUAUCAGCAUAACAGAAAACAUCUAUCCAUCUAUCCAUCAUCCGUCCAGCUAGUUUCUCUGCUUUUCCAAUUCUGGGUUGCAAGGAUCUGGAUCCAUAUCCCAUCUACCACAGGGAGAGAGGUGGGAUCACACAGGGCACAGGGCUAUAAGAACAAAUUCAUUAUUAUAACUUUCAGUUAGGCACUGUUAUUUUCCUCCUAAAAUAUUGUGUGCACAGUGUGCAAUAAAUCGUAUAUGAAAAUGGUAUGAAGACAGCAUAUUAAACAUUACAACUUAAAAGAAAAUGCUUAUUAUAAAAGUCUGUGACAAAAAAGGACAGCAUUAGUGUAAUACUAAUGGAAAAAAUAGAAAAAUGAAUAAAAUAAAAAAUCAAUAAGUUGUCAAACAAUUUAGCAAUGGUGCCUCUAAAAUAGCAAGUAGUUUGUGAACUGCAACAGCUGCAGUAUAUUAUGUAUUUUCACACAUCUGUAUACAAGGGAUAUGCUCAAAAAACCAGUAGCCUGUGGCUGUGAUCUUUAAAGGCAUUAAAAACAGACACAGUUCUGCAUGUUGCUGGCAUCAAAUCUGAAACGUUUCAUCUCGAAAACUGAACAAAUCCCUCAACUUUUUUUUGUAUCUACAGCUUAGUGCUACCAAAGGUUUUUGGCCACAUACCAACUGUUUGCUGCUGGAAUCUGUUUAAAUUUAGACUGCUAAGAGCUUAUGAUGGAAAAAAGAAACUGUUUUGGCAAUUAGACUUAGAUGAUAUUCCCUGAUGAAAA
This is a long non-coding RNA of Astatotilapia calliptera (eastern happy), 1104 nucleotides long. Lineage: Eukaryota; Metazoa; Chordata; Actinopteri; Cichliformes; Cichlidae. The record is from Ensembl.